ACUCUUUUAGCUCAGUUGAUUAAAGUGCAGUGGCUGGUAACACCAAGGUUGUAGGUUCGAUCCCCGUACGGGACA
Non-coding RNA from Podarcis lilfordi (Lilford's wall lizard), 75 nucleotides. NCBI's taxonomy places the organism in Eukaryota, Metazoa, Chordata, Lepidosauria, Squamata, Lacertidae. The record is from the annotation of a GenBank genome assembly.